GGGAGCUGUUGGGGUGGGGGGCGUGGGAAGAUGUCAUCUUUACUUUUCCUGCGAAGGAGAUUGGCAUCUUCCCGACUCCCCCCAUACCACUGGCUUCCAA
This 100-nucleotide microRNA precursor is filed under the name Nicotiana tabacum (common tobacco). Its description in RNAcentral is "miR482d stem-loop (nta-MIR482d)". Its record names the gene nta-MIR482d. The record is from miRBase by way of RNAcentral. Lineage: Eukaryota; Viridiplantae; Streptophyta; Magnoliopsida; Solanales; Solanaceae.